AUUGAACGCUGGCGGCAGGCUUAACACAUGCAAGUCGAACGAGUGGCGGACGGGUGAGUAAUGCUUGGGCAUCUAGCUUAUGGAGGGGGAUAACUACGGGAAACUGUAGCUAAUACCGCGUAACAUAGGAUGAGCCCAAGUGGGAUUAGGUAGUUGGUGAGGUAAAGGCUCACCAAGCCGACGAUCGCUAGCUGGUCUGAGAGGAUGACCGGCCACACUGGGACGGAGACACGGCCCAGACGCCUACGGGAGGCAGCAGGGGGGAAUAUUGCGAAAUGGGGGCAAGUUGACGGAGCAAUGCCGCGUGAGUGAAGAAGGUCUUCGGGUUGUAAAGUUCUGUCGGUAGCGAAGCGUUAUCUACAGAAGAAGCAACGGCUAACUCCGUGCCAGCAGCCGCGGUAAUUC
This 405-nucleotide ribosomal RNA is filed under the name uncultured bacterium. Its description in RNAcentral is "partial 16S ribosomal RNA". It matches the Rfam family "Bacterial small subunit ribosomal RNA", at positions 29 to 526 of the family's 1533-position model. The record is from RNAcentral.